AGAGUUUGAUCCUGGCUCAGGAUGAACGCUAGCGGCAGGCUUAACACAUGCAAGUCGAGGGGCAUCGGGAGGGAAGCUUGCUUUCCUUGCCGGCGACCGGCGCACGGGUGAGUAACACGUAUGCAACCUGCCCUCUUCAGGGGGACAACCUUCCGAAAGGGAGGCUAAUCCCGCGUAUAUCGGUUUCGGGCAUCCGAGAUCGAGGAAAGAUUCAUCGGAAGAGGAUGGGCAUGCGGCGCAUUAGCUUGACGGCGGGGUAACGGCCCACCGUGGCGACGAUGCGUAGGGGUUCUGAGAGGAAGGUCCCCCACACUGGUACUGAGACACGGACCAGACUCCUACGGGAGGCAGCAGUGAGGAAUAUUGGUCAAUGGGAGAGAUCCUGAACCAGCCAAGCCGCGUGAGGGAAGACGGCCCUAUGGGUUGUAAACCUCUUUUGUCGGAGAACAAAACCCGGGACGUGUCCCGGACUGCGUGUAUCCGAAGAAAAAGCAUCGGCUAACUCCGUG
RNAcentral lists this ribosomal RNA (509 nucleotides) under uncultured Bacteroidales bacterium. RNAcentral describes it as "bacterial SSU rRNA". It matches the Rfam family "Bacterial small subunit ribosomal RNA", at positions 8 to 507 of the family's 1533-position model. The record is from RNAcentral. Lineage: Bacteria; Pseudomonadati; Bacteroidota; Bacteroidia; Bacteroidales.